Molecule: ribosomal RNA, 448 nt
Filed under: uncultured bacterium
Lineage: Bacteria
Description: bacterial SSU rRNA
Rfam family: Bacterial small subunit ribosomal RNA
Source: RNAcentral
GCCCAGACUCCUACGGGAGGCAGCAGUGGGGAAUAUUGCACAAUGGGGGAAACCCUGAUGCAGCAACGCCGCGUGGGUGAAGGAGCGUUUCGGCGCGUAAAGCCCUGUCAGCGGGGAAGAAGAAAGACGGUACCCGACCAAGAAGCCCCGGCUAACUACGUGCCAGCAGCCGCGGUAAUACGUAGGGGGCGAGCGUUAUCCGGAAUUACUGGGUGUAAAGGGAGCGUAGACGGCGAGGUAAGCCUGAAGUGGAAGCCCGCGGCCCAACCGCGGAACUGCUUUGGGAACUGUUUUGCUGGAGUAUGGGAGGGGUAAGCGGAAUUCCUGGUGUAGCGGUGAAAUGCGUAGAUAUCAGGAGGAACACCGGCGGCGAAGGCGGCCUGCUGGACCGUGACUGACGUUGAGGCUCGAGGGCGUGGGGAGCAAACAGGAUUAGAUACCCGUGUAG